AUGUCCAAAUAUUGGUGGGCUGGAUCUCUUGACAGAAAAGGAAUGCAUUGGCAAUCGUGGGAUAAGAUGUGCAUUGCGAAGUCACAAGGAGGGAUGGGAUUCCGAGACUUGGAAAUUUUCAAUGAUGCGAUGUUGGCAAAGCAAGCAUGGAGGAUUCUUGAGAAUCCAAACAGCUUGUGUGCACGAGUGCUUAAAGCACGCUAUUUCCCUCAUGAGGAUUUCCUAACGGCGGGAUGCCCCGCGAGUGCAUCCAAGACAUGGAAAGCAAUCAUCAUAGGGAGAGAGAUGUUGAAGAAGGGACUCAUUCGGCGAAUUGGUAAUGGAGAGACCACCGAAGUGUGGCAUGAUCGAUGGAUA
RNAcentral lists this ribosomal RNA (357 nucleotides) under Triticum aestivum (bread wheat). RNAcentral describes it as "partial small subunit ribosomal RNA". The record is from RNAcentral. Lineage: Eukaryota; Viridiplantae; Streptophyta; Magnoliopsida; Poales; Poaceae.